GGUACAUCGGUGACAGGUGGUGCAUGGUUGUCGUCAGCUCGUGUCGUGAGAUGUUGGGUUAAGUCCCGCAACGAGCGCAACCCCUAUUGUUAGUUGCCAUCAUUCAGUUGGGCACUCUAGCGAGACUGCCGGUAAUAAACCGGAGGAAGUGGGGAUGACGUCAAAUCAUCAUGCCCCUUAUGACCUGGGCUACACACGUGCUACAAUGGUUGGUACAACGAGUUGCGAGUCGGUGACGGCGAGCUAAUCUCUUAAAGCCAAUCUCAGUUCGGAUUGUAGGCUGCAACUCGCCUACAUGAAGUCGGAAUCGCUAGUAAUCGCGGAUCAGCACGCCGCGGUGAAUACGUUCCCGGGUCUU
This 358-nucleotide ribosomal RNA is filed under the name uncultured Streptococcus sp. Its description in RNAcentral is "bacterial SSU rRNA". It matches the Rfam family "Bacterial small subunit ribosomal RNA", at positions 1022 to 1382 of the family's 1533-position model. The record is from RNAcentral. Lineage: Bacteria; Bacillati; Bacillota; Bacilli; Lactobacillales; Streptococcaceae.